AAGACCUUGCGCUUUUGGAGCGGCCGAUGUCUGAUUAGCUAGUUGGUGGGGUAAUGGCCUACCAAAGCUUCGAUCAGUAGCUGGUCUGAGAGGACGGCCAGCCACACUGGGACUGAGACACGGCCCAGACUCCUACGGGAGGCAGCAGUGGGGAAUUUUGGACAAUGGGCGCAAGCCUGAUCCAGCCAUGCCGCGUGAGUGAAGAAGGCCUUCGGGUUGUAAAGCUCUUUCAGCCGGAACGAAACGGUUACGGUUAAUACCCGUGAUUACUGACGGUACCGGAAGAAGAAGCACCGGCUAACUACGUGCCAGCAGCCGCGGUAAUACGUAGGGUGCGAGCGUUAAUCGGAAUUACUGGGCGUAAAGCGUGCGCAGGUGGUUUUGUAAGUCAGAUGUGAAAGCCCCGGGCUCAACCUGGGAACU
This 423-nucleotide ribosomal RNA is filed under the name uncultured bacterium. Its description in RNAcentral is "bacterial SSU rRNA". It matches the Rfam family "Bacterial small subunit ribosomal RNA", at positions 207 to 622 of the family's 1533-position model. The record is from RNAcentral.